This 514-nucleotide ribosomal RNA is filed under the name Escherichia coli. RNAcentral's name for it is "partial 23S ribosomal RNA". It matches the Rfam family "Bacterial large subunit ribosomal RNA", at positions 344 to 861 of the family's 2925-position model. Lineage: Bacteria; Pseudomonadati; Pseudomonadota; Gammaproteobacteria; Enterobacterales; Enterobacteriaceae. The record is from RNAcentral.
GGAAAGGCGCGCGAUACAGGGUGACAGCCCCGUACACAAAAAUGCACAUGCUGUGAGCUCGAUGAGUAGGGCGGGACACGUGGUAUCCUGUCUGAAUAUGGGGGGACCAUCCUCCAAGGCUAAAUACUCCUGACUGACCGAUAGUGAACCAGUACCGUGAGGGAAAGGCGAAAAGAACCCCGGCGAGGGGAGUGAAAAAGAACCUGAAACCGUGUACGUACAAGCAGUGGGAGCACAGAGCAAUCUGUGUGACUGCGUACCUUUUGUAUAAUGGGUCAGCGACUUAUAUUCUGUAGCAAGGUUAACCGAAUAGGGGAGCCGAAGGGAAACCGAGUCUUAACUGGGCGUUAAGUUGCAGGGUAUAGACCCGAAACCCGGUGAUCUAGCCAUGGGCAGGUUGAAGGUUGGGUAACACUAACUGGAGGACCGAACCGACUAAUGUUGAAAAAUUAGCGGAUGACUUGUGGCUGGGGGUGAAAGGCCAAUCAAACCGGGAGAUAGCUGGUUCUCCCCG